AUACAAUUUAUUUAUUUGUAGUCUGAGGAUUUGUUUUCAUUAAUUGAAAGUCAUGAAGGACGACCAUUGAAGCUGUAUUUAUACAAUUCAGAAACAGAUGGGUGUAGGGAAGUAACAAUUACACCCAAUACUAACUGGCAAGGAGAGGGAAGUCUUGGCUGUGGAAUUGGUUACGGUUACCUGCAUAGAAUUCCUACACGGCGGUUUCCUGAAGGCCAAGCCCUUGAUUUCUCAGAACAUAUUCACCAGUCUCCUGUCCCGACACAGGUACCACAAAAUACACCUGUUGCAUCACCAGCUGAUGGAUUCUCUGAGGUAUCACUUGCCUCCACUCCAAAUGUAAGCAGUGUGGAAAAAGAUCUGGCUAAUUUGAACCUUACCCCAGCCAGCCCGGCAAAUGCACCUGUCACAACCACAGGCACACCUGUGAAUGUGACAAGCCCAGCAAUAAACCCAGCCUUGCCUACUGGACAACCAACCAUACCUGUUACUGCAGGAUCUCAACCU
This is a long non-coding RNA of Anneissia japonica, 507 nucleotides long. RefSeq lists it as uncharacterized. The record is from RefSeq and is a predicted model, not a curated record. The transcript has 3 exons. NCBI's taxonomy places the organism in Eukaryota, Metazoa, Echinodermata, Crinoidea, Comatulida, Comatulidae.